AGACCCGAAACCCGGUGAUCUAGCCAUGGGCAGGUUGAAGGUUGGGUAACACUAACUGGAGGACCGAACCGACUAAUGUUGAAAAAUUAGCGGAUGACCUGUGGCUGGGGGUGAAAGGCCAAUCAAACCGGGAGAUAGCUGGUUCUCCCCGAAAGCUAUUUAGGUAGCGCCUCGUGAAUUCAUCUCCGGGGGUAGAGCACUGUUUCGGCUAGGGGGCCAUCCCGGCUUACCAACCCGAUGCAAACUGCGAAUACCGGAGAAUGUUAUCACGGGAGACACACGGCGGGUGCUAACGUCCGUCGUGAAGAGGGAAACAACCCAGACCGCCAGCUAAGGUCCCAAAGUCAUGGUUAAGUGGGAAACGAUGUGGGAAGGCCCAGACAGCCAGGAUGUUGGCUUAGAAGCAGCCAUCAUUUAAAGAAAGCGUAAUAGCUCACUGGUCGAGUCGGCCUGCGCGGAAGAUGUAACGGGGCUAAACCAUGCACCGAAGC
RNAcentral lists this ribosomal RNA (491 nucleotides) under Salmonella enterica subsp. enterica serovar Infantis. RNAcentral's name for it is "partial 23S ribosomal RNA". It matches the Rfam family "Bacterial large subunit ribosomal RNA", at positions 711 to 1200 of the family's 2925-position model. Lineage: Bacteria; Pseudomonadati; Pseudomonadota; Gammaproteobacteria; Enterobacterales; Enterobacteriaceae. The record is from RNAcentral. RNAcentral also lists the same sequence under 6 other names.